Molecule: transfer RNA, 68 nt
Filed under: Meretrix lusoria
Lineage: Eukaryota; Metazoa; Mollusca; Bivalvia; Venerida; Veneridae
Description: tRNA-Val
Source: RNAcentral
CGGGAAGUAGCAUAAAUAAGUGUGUUCUGUUUACACCAGAAAUGUGGUUUUAGUAUUACCCUUUCCUU